CUAGGCCUCUCCUCUCACAGACAAUAUCAUAUAGGCCUCUCCUCUCACAGACAAUAUCAUAUAGGCCUCUCCUCUCACAGACAAUAUCAUAUAGGCCUCUC
Molecule: long non-coding RNA, 101 nt
Organism: Oncorhynchus tshawytscha (Chinook salmon)
Lineage: Eukaryota; Metazoa; Chordata; Actinopteri; Salmoniformes; Salmonidae
Exons: 2
Source: RefSeq, a predicted model, not a curated record